RNAcentral lists this long non-coding RNA (217 nucleotides) under Malus domestica (apple). RNAcentral's name for it is "long non-coding RNA (MDOM_LNC006643)". The record is from RNAcentral. Lineage: Eukaryota; Viridiplantae; Streptophyta; Magnoliopsida; Rosales; Rosaceae.
CUAUAUUAUGUCCAAACAUUGAAUCACCAUUUAGUUGUAGCUAGCAAUCUUCGAAUUAAUUGAAAACAAGACUACGUCAAAGAUGGUUUCUUCAAAGUCAACCAUUCUCUUUGAUUGUAGUCACCUUAAGCUACCAAUUAGCUAUUGAAGGUUUCAUUAUUUCGGGUCAAAUGGUACUUUACCAUUUCCUUGAGUAUAUAUCGUAUAUACACUCAAU